Molecule: ribosomal RNA, 384 nt
Filed under: uncultured bacterium
Lineage: Bacteria
Description: bacterial SSU rRNA
Rfam family: Bacterial small subunit ribosomal RNA
Source: RNAcentral
UACGUAGGGUGCGAGCGUUAAUCGGAAUUACUGGGCGUAAAGGGUGCGCAGGCGACUCCGCAUGUCAGGCGUGAAAUCCCCGGGCUUAACCUGGGAAUGGCGCUUGAAACUACGGAGCUGGAGUGUGGCAGAGGGAGGUGGAAUUCCACGUGUAGCGGUGAAAUGCGUAGAGAUGUGGAGGAACACCGAUGGCGAAGGCAGCCUCCUGGGCCAACACUGACGCUCAUGCACGAAAGCGUGGGGAGCAAACAGGAUUAGAUACCCUGGUAGUCCACGCCCUAAACGAUGAUGACUAGUUGUUGGAGGAGUUAAAUCCUUUAGUAACGCAGCUAACGCGCGAAGUCGUCCGCCUGGGGAGUACGGUCGCAAGAUUAAAACUCAAAG